This 221-nucleotide microRNA precursor is filed under the name Arabidopsis thaliana (thale cress). Its description in RNAcentral is "MIR854 microRNA precursor family". It matches the Rfam family "MIR854 microRNA precursor family". Lineage: Eukaryota; Viridiplantae; Streptophyta; Magnoliopsida; Brassicales; Brassicaceae. The record is from Rfam by way of RNAcentral.
UGGAUGAAGACAGAGCAGUGGAGUUCGACACUAGCAUGUAUCAUUUUGAUGAACAUGUACCUCUGGCGAGGGAGAGCAAGAGCUUGAGUGAAGCUCAUAGGAACAACAAUAAGCUGCAGAAGUGUUGCAAGAAGCAGGACAAGCGGCUCGCCAAGUGCUUUAAGACUAUCAAGUUUCUGAUAGAUUAACUGAGCUGUUCCUCUUCUACUACAGCUAUUCCA